RNAcentral lists this ribosomal RNA (761 nucleotides) under Phyllosticta podocarpi. RNAcentral's name for it is "eukaryotic LSU rRNA". It matches the Rfam family "Eukaryotic large subunit ribosomal RNA", at positions 87 to 866 of the family's 3401-position model. RNAcentral also lists the same sequence under 1 other name. The record is from RNAcentral. Lineage: Eukaryota; Fungi; Ascomycota; Dothideomycetes; Botryosphaeriales; Phyllostictaceae.
CGGCGAGUGAAGCGGCAAUAGCUCAAAUUUGAAAGCUGGCGUCUUCGACGUCCGCGUUGUAAUUUGUAGAGGAUGCUUCGGCGAGGACUCCUGCCUAAGUUCCCUGGAAUGGGACGUCACAGAGGGUGAGAAUCCCGUAUGUGGCGGGCGGUCCAAGCCAUGUGAAGCUCCUUCGACGAGUCGAGUUGUUUGGGAAUGCAGCUCUAAAUGGGAGGUAAAUUUCUUCUAAAGCUAAAUACCGGCCAGAGACCGAUAGCGCACAAGUAGAGUGAUCGAAAGAUGAAAAGCACUUUGGAAAGAGAGUUAAAAAGUACGUGAAAUUGUUGAAAGGGAAGCGCUUGCAACCAGACUCGUUCGCAGUUGCUCAGCCGGCCUCUUGGCCGGUGUACUCUUCUGCGGUCGGGCCAGCAUCAGUUCGGGCGGCUGGAUAAAGGUGUCGGGAAUGUAGCUCCCCUCGGGGAGUGUUAUAGCCCGGCGCGGAAUGCAGCCAGCCUGGACUGAGGAUCUCGCUUCGGCAAGGAUGCUGGCGUAAUGGUUGUAAGCGGCCCGUCUUGAAACACGGACCAAGGAGUCUAACAUCUAUGCGAGUGUUUGGGUGCCAAACCCAUACGCGUAAUGAAAGUGAACGGAGGUGGGAACCCGCAAGGGUGCACCAUCGACCGAUCCUGAUGUCUUCGGAUGGAUUUGAGUAAGAGCAUAGCUGUUGGGACCCGAAAGAUGGUGAACUAUGCCUGAAUAGGGUGAAGCCAGAGGAAACUCUG